UAGACGAGGCCAAGCACAUGUU
Molecule: non-coding RNA, 22 nt
Filed under: Arabidopsis thaliana (thale cress)
Lineage: Eukaryota; Viridiplantae; Streptophyta; Magnoliopsida; Brassicales; Brassicaceae
Source: RNAcentral